RNAcentral lists this long non-coding RNA (264 nucleotides) under Populus tremula. Its description in RNAcentral is "long non-coding RNA (PTRE_LNC000134)". Lineage: Eukaryota; Viridiplantae; Streptophyta; Magnoliopsida; Malpighiales; Salicaceae. The record is from RNAcentral.
CUCACACAGCAACCGUGAACUGCAACAACACAGUCACCUGCUGCGGCAACAUCUCUUUCUUUGCACCGUGAGAACCACCAUCCCCCACCGUACUAACCUCCACACCAGGAAGCGUCUCUCAUCUCCACCGUUAGCUUUAGUCCUGAUAGCAGUCCUUGGAUACAACCAGUGAGCAGACUUCACCAGUGGCAACAGUGCAGCCUGUGGUAUUCCUCUAUCAAGUAUGUCAACAUAUUUACUCUUAUAUUAUUCAUCAUACUUUAC